GCGUACGUUUUUGGAACAUAUCCCGAGGUGUUUUGAUACUCGAUCCAGUCCUUACGGGUGCAGCAGGUGGAUAUCUUCACAUUUCAGGUAUCUGUGAUGAGGAUACUCCAAUUGUAUCAUUAUUUGUAGCUUUCUUGAGUUUAAUCGCUCAUGGAAUAAGGUCUGGGAAAGACCGGUGCCAGCCGCCCUGGUUAUACCGUCAUGCUUCAAGUGGUUCUUCGCGUAUAAUUUGGUCUCUUAUACGUCCUGUAGCCUUUUUUGGUAAAUCUUGUGGGUUAAAUUCAACCAAGCUUAACUGUGUUUGAAUUUCUGCAGUAGACUGCCAUAUUAGGGACCGUGAGAGUUUUGGGGUACUCUAGGGUUAGGGUUAAAAUCCUGUCAUCUUUAGAGGACCACCAGUUUCUACGGCGCCACAUCUGGAACGGAUCCGACGGUCAGGGACGAAGCCUAGGGGCACGAACCGGAUUAGAUACCCGGUUAGUCUUAGUUGUAAACGCUGUGAACUUGGUGUCGGGGAUCCGUAAUGGGUCCUCGGUGCCGGAGUGAAGAUGUUAAGUUCACUGCCUGGGGAGUACGGUCGCAAGGCUGAAACUCAAAUGAUUGACGG
RNAcentral lists this ribosomal RNA (607 nucleotides) under uncultured euryarchaeote. RNAcentral describes it as "bacterial SSU rRNA". It matches the Rfam family "Archaeal small subunit ribosomal RNA", at positions 265 to 871 of the family's 1478-position model. Lineage: Archaea; Methanobacteriati; Methanobacteriota. The record is from RNAcentral.